AGAACGAACGCUGGCGGCAGGCCUAACACAUGCAAGUCGAACGGGGUAGCAAUACUCUAGUGGCAGACGGGUGAGUAACACGUGGGAACCUUCCUAUUAGUAUGGAAUAGCCCGGCGAAAGCCGGAUUAAUACCGUAUACGCCCCAAGGGGGAAAGAUUUAUCGCUAAUAGAUGGGCCCGCGUAAGAUUAGCUAGUUGGUGAGGUAAUGGCUCACCAAGGCUACGAUCUUUAGCUGGUUUGAGAGAAUGAUCAGCCACACUGGAACUGAGACACGGUCCAGACUCCUACGGGAGGCAGCAGUGGGGAAUAUUGGACAAUGGGCGCAAGCCUGAUCCAGCCAUGCCGCGUGAAUGAUGAAGGCCUUCGGGUUGUAAAGUUCUUUUAGUGGAGAAAAUAAUGAUGGUAUCCACAGAAAAAGCCCGGCUAACUUCGUGCCAGCAGCCGC
RNAcentral lists this ribosomal RNA (446 nucleotides) under uncultured bacterium. RNAcentral describes it as "SSU rRNA". It matches the Rfam family "Bacterial small subunit ribosomal RNA", at positions 26 to 518 of the family's 1533-position model. The record is from RNAcentral.